This 484-nucleotide ribosomal RNA is filed under the name uncultured bacterium. RNAcentral describes it as "bacterial SSU rRNA". It matches the Rfam family "Bacterial small subunit ribosomal RNA", at positions 28 to 507 of the family's 1533-position model. The record is from RNAcentral.
GAUGAACGUUGGCGGUGUGCCUAAUACAUAGCAAGUCGAACGGAGAUUGUAGCAAUACGGUCUUAGUGGCGAACGGGUGAGUAACGCGUUGGUGAUCUGCCUCGAAGUGUGGAAUAACGAUUCGAAAGAAUCGCUAAUACCGCAUAGUCUCCUUUUUCCAGAAAUUUGAGAGUAAAGGAUUUAUUCGCUUUGAGAGGAGCCUGCGUCCCAUCAGCUAGUUGGUAAGGUAAUGGCCUACCAAGGCGAUGACGGGUAGGGGACCUGAGAGGGUGGCCCCCCACAAUGGAACUGAAACACGGUCCAUACACCUACGGGUGGCAGCAGUGGGGAAUUUUGGACAAUGGGCGCAAGCCUGAUCCAGCCAUGCCGCGUGAGUGAAGAAGGCCUUCGGGUUGUAAAGCUCUUUCGGCCGGGAAGAAAUCGUAUGGGCUAAUACCCUGUGCGGAUGACGGUACCGGCAUAAGAAGCACCGGCUAACUACGUG